CCAUAUGAUAGUAUACAGUACCACAAAACAUAUAUCGUUUUGUCUUCGUGGUUUUCAACAUGCUACUUAUAGCCACAAAUGCAUAAUAUUUUUAGACAAAUAGUUAUAAAACAUAACUUCUAAAACAAAAAUAGCAAAGAUACAAUAUAGCUACCAGUUUAAACUCAGAUUCUGUAACAUAGCCUAACUACAGGUUCUCCACCAUAUCGAAGGUCUCAGCCAUCUCAAAGCAGCCAUUGGUUAGACUUGAUGAAAUGA
Molecule: long non-coding RNA, 258 nt
Filed under: Capsella rubella
Lineage: Eukaryota; Viridiplantae; Streptophyta; Magnoliopsida; Brassicales; Brassicaceae
Description: long non-coding RNA (CRUB_LNC004257)
Source: RNAcentral